Molecule: non-coding RNA, 93 nt
Filed under: Massilioclostridium coli
Lineage: Bacteria; Bacillati; Bacillota; Clostridia; Eubacteriales; Clostridiaceae
Description: yjdF RNA
Rfam family: azaaromatic riboswitch aptamer (yjdF RNA)
Source: RNAcentral
GCAAAGAUAAAAACACAGCCUGGUUGGUAGUCCAGGCGCAGCGAUGAUGCUGCCAGUAGCCCUCCUCCUUGGUCGUCCCUUCUUUGUGCUAUU